CAGUAGCCGCGGAAUACAGAGGGUGCGAGCGUUAAUCGGAUUUACUGGGCGUAAAGCGUGCGUAGGCGGCUUUUUAAGUCGGAUGUGAAAUCCCUGAGCUUAACUUAGGAAUUGCAUUCGAUACUGGGAAGCUAGAGUAUGGGAGAGGAUGGUAGAAUUCCAGGUGUAGCGGUGAAAUGCGUAGAGAUCUGGAGGAAUACCGAUGGCGAAGGCGGCCCCCUGGACAAAGACUGACGCUCAGGUGCGAAAGCGUGGGGAGCAAACAGGAUUAGAUACCCGCGUAGUCCCUGUCUCUUAUACC
RNAcentral lists this ribosomal RNA (301 nucleotides) under uncultured bacterium. RNAcentral's name for it is "partial 16S ribosomal RNA". It matches the Rfam family "Bacterial small subunit ribosomal RNA", at positions 509 to 808 of the family's 1533-position model. The record is from RNAcentral.